This 244-nucleotide ribosomal RNA is filed under the name uncultured bacterium. RNAcentral describes it as "partial 16S ribosomal RNA". It matches the Rfam family "Bacterial small subunit ribosomal RNA", at positions 524 to 767 of the family's 1533-position model. The record is from RNAcentral.
UACGGAGGGUGCAAGCGUUGUUCGGAUUUACUGGCGUAAAGCGCGCGCAGGUGGGUGGACAAGUCGGAAGUGAAAUCUCGAGGCUCAACCUCGAGGCUGCUCCCGAAACUGUUCGCCUAGGGACUGGUAGAGGCUGGUAGAAUUCCCGGUGUAGCGGUGGAAUGCGUAGAGAUCGGGAAGAAUACCCGUGGCGAAGGCGGCCAGCUGGGCCAGAUCCGGACACUGAGGCGCGAAAGCGUGGGGA